AACGAAUCUUCCGCAAUGCACGAAAGUGUGACGGGGCAAUGCCGCGUGUGGGAUGAAGCCCUUCGGGGUGUAAACCACUGUCAGGGUUCAGGAAACAAAUGACCAGACCCAAAGGAAGGGCCGGCUAACUCUGUGCCAGCAGCCGCGGUAAUACAGAGGGCCCGAGCGUUAAUCGGAAUCACUGGGCUUAAAGCGUACGUAGGCGGACUUGUAGGCAUCUUGUGAAAUCCCUCGGCUCAACCGGGGAAUUGCAGGGUGAACCACAAGUCUUGAGGCGAGUAGAGGCGGUCGGAACGAUAGGUGGAGCGGUGAAAUGCGUAGAUAUCUAUCGGAACGCCAAAGGUGAAGACAGGCCGCUGGGCUCGUCCUGACGCUGAGGUACGAAAGCGUGGGUAGCGAACGGG
RNAcentral lists this ribosomal RNA (404 nucleotides) under uncultured bacterium. Its description in RNAcentral is "bacterial SSU rRNA". It matches the Rfam family "Bacterial small subunit ribosomal RNA", at positions 356 to 776 of the family's 1533-position model. The record is from RNAcentral.